GGUGCAGGUGGAUCAAGCACGAGAUGCGAGACUCAGAAGGACAACAGGUGACAUUGCAAGGUAAAGUUCCUAUUAUCACAGGAGACUAUCCUAAGCAGAUCUCAGGUCGGGUAGAGCACAGCAUAGAUGUAGAUAUGAUCAAGCGGCCUGGCUCGACUCUCAUGUUUGCCUAUCUAUGAUCAGCAGGCAUAUGGCCCAGGGCAUGUAGGUGAGAUCAUCUAGAAAGCACUCAUGGUUAGAUAGAGGCUGAAUGUGGAGUUGAGGUGGAG
This 269-nucleotide long non-coding RNA is filed under the name Elaeis guineensis (African oil palm). RNAcentral's name for it is "long non-coding RNA (EGUI_LNC038800)". The record is from RNAcentral. Lineage: Eukaryota; Viridiplantae; Streptophyta; Magnoliopsida; Arecales; Arecaceae.